GCCGGACACACUUCUACAUUGCCUGGAUUUUUAACAACAAGCAGAUAUAAAAUAAGUUCAUUGUUUUUUACUGGAGUUUCAUCCUUUGCAUCCUCCAGCCUACGUUUAAGGCUGAAUUCAUACUUAGUGACCCGACAGUACCUGCUGGCUGGCCUGGCAGUGCUCCAAGGAGACCCAGGACGCUCAGGCCACCCGGUACAAACACAGCCCAGCAUCAAGAAAACAGCACUGAAUCAGUCAGUCUUGGAUCUGUAACCAGCUGGCUGUGCGACCUUAGCCCACACUCUGGAGGCCGCAUUGCUGGCUGGUUAAGAAAUGUGGGCUCUGGAAUCAGGUUUGUAUCCCAGCUCCACCACCUAUCAGCUGUGUGACCUUGGGGAUGAACCCAGGAAGCCCUUGAGGAUUGCUGCCACUCAAAAUCCCCUGGACUCUUGUUGGUGACGGGGCAGGAGUGGAGAGGAGGACAAAGCCGGCAGCCAGCAAAGGAGGGCCCAAGUUCAAAGGUGUUAAAAGACCCGUGGCUUUGGGUGUCUCAACCAGCAAACUUCUCCUCCCUCACGGACUUUCUACAGGCUUGCAAGCCAACUGGUUUCCCCAGUGGGGAAAGUAUACCACCACUGUCUAAAAGGAGGGCCUCUCGCCAUGGAUGUGCUACAAGAGGAGAUAACAAAUGCAUUUGGGUUUCCAAUGGCCCAGCUGCACCGUGUUAAGAAAAACGCCGUUUUCCUGCUCUUAAUCCAUUCCUGGUGGAGAUGUUGCUUCAACUUGAAGGAGCCUUUUAUGUGCUGAAGUCAACUGCAAUCUAAAAGAUAAGUUAAAUCACUUAUUCAGGAAGACAGGAAGCCUUUGACAGCAGUGACUGAUUAAGAUUUCACAGCAGCCAGAGCCAGGCCUACGGAACCCAAAGAGUGCUCGUUCCCUCACCAACCAGCACUGUUGGCCCCUCCUUGGCAGCAAGCCAAGCUCAGAAUCCUACCCUCGGGGAGAUUUCCCUCUGACAGAGCAUGGAGGGGGCUGGAGCAGACAGAGGGGAGUGCUAAGUCCCAGCAGGUGAACCUGAGAGCCCUGAUGACAGGAACUAGAGAUACCCCACCCUCUGCCCAGCCCCCUUCCUCACCUCCAUUUAGCCUUGGCCUGGUCUCCCAUGGUCAGCUCAAGGGUCCCCUCUUCCAGGAAGCCUUCCCUGACCCUACAGGCCAGGACUCGCAGGUGCCUUUACACAACAUGUUCCUAGAGCACUUGUACUUUACCCCAUCCUCGCACCUUUGACUCUGAAGACUUGCCUGUCACCUGGCAUGGCAGCCACUUGACUGUGAGCACUCUGGGGGCAGCACAUGGUACCAUGCUGGAUGCCCACUAAGCUCUUGGCACGUGUUUGGAAGGCAGAGGAACCUGAGCUCAGGGAACAGAGUGACUACCUGCCUUGCCAGUGUCACCUGCCAGCUUAUCCAAGUGCUCACAGCCCUGCUGGCUGCUAACCACUGGGCCAGGCCCUGGGGGCAUCCGCAGUAUUCCAACAGGGCUUCUUGUCCUAAAAUGCCACCCAGGCCCCAAAGGCCCACUGUUAGAAUCCACUCUUUUAGCAAAGCAUCACCUCCAGAAAGUUCCCAUCCCCAAGAGGAGGCACAGUCUCACCCUGUGGUCCUCUUCAUCUGCUUGGCCAGCCAGGGAUGGGGCUCAGGGGAAGGAUUAAUCUAGGGCCCAGGAUGCUGACCAGGGUGAGCAGGCUGGAGGAGGCACUGGGGUGGGCAGUCCAUGGGCAGCCUGGGGGCACUGGGUCCAGAAGAUGAAAGUAUGCCUCAAGGGCAUCAAGGUAAGAUCCCAACUUUACACAUGAACAAAACCCUCAGAAGAGCAGAACUGGGCUAAGUUCAGGACAGAAGAGAUGUGCAAGCAGGUGAGCAAAUGAUGUCAAGGUUGGAGGUGAGCUGAAAGGCGCAGGGGGUAGCUCUGUGGAAAGCACAGUGUUCACUGUGUUGGGAGGGCUGGGACCCAAGUUACUCCACCCCUAGUCCCCCACUUCUGCACCAGUGGUAGCCCUGGGCAGGCCAUCAACCUUAGAUAUCUGAAUAUGAGAAUCAUCAUCUGCCCUGCCUGCCUUGCACAACUACUGCUCUACAUUAAAUCAGAAAGGAGAUGAGAAAAUUCUCUAGAAGCCUAAAAGCAAUAUAGAAAUAGAAACUGUUGUAACAAUCAUCAUUUGCUUUUUCAGAGUGUCUUGCAGCCUGUAUAGGGCUUUCCUAUCCAGUAACCUCCUAACCCUCAAAACAACUCUGGGAGAUAGGUAUGGAUAUGUAUACUCAAUUUACAGAUGUGAAAACUGAGGAACAGAUAGUUCCAGCCCAGAAUCACACCAAUAACAAGGGGCUGAGGUGACAGCUAUGUCCAGGUCUUCUGCUGCAAAUAGAGUAUUCUAUUUACCACACCAAGAUGUACCCUCCAUUGUCUAAAAUCACAAGCUCUGGCUGUACAGAAAACCCUCCUUAUUCUUCAGUCUUUCUAUGGAUUUGUUGAUUCCUCCUCCUUCUUCAAUCCAUCCGUGGAUUUGCUGAUUGACAAAUGAGCUUCCCUGGUCUCCUUGUCAUGGCACUGUUUGGGGGAGUUUGUGGUCAGAGUUUUUAUCUGAGGACAAGAAACCAGGCUGCAGCCUGGGCUCAGCCUCUUAUCCAUUGUGGGGCUAAGGAAGAGUCCCUGUCCCCCAGUAUUCUCCAAUCCCAUCUGAUGUUAAAACCUCUUAAUGACCCUGAUCUAAGCAUUUCCAGAAAAAGGUUCUCAGGGCCUUUCUGGGGGUGGCGGGGGCAAUCCUUUGUGACAGCAUGAAAAGCCGGAUGGGGCUGGCCUGGUUGCAAUGGCACACGCUAGGUUCCAGGCACUCCACACGUUUCUCAUGAUAACCUCGUGGUUGAUACUCACACAGAUGAGGAGCUGAAAGGCUGCAGGAGCUGCCCACCAUCCUCACACAGCGUGGAAGUGGUAGCACCAAGACUGAGGCCCAGGAGGGGGGUCCAAAGGGCCAUCCUGCAUUUUCCAUUGCAGCAGGGUGGGAAGGAGAGGGAGAUAGAGACUUUACCUCUACUCUAAAUCACCUCCUUAGGUUGCCAUAUUUUCCUUACUUCAAUGAAUUAUGUGGAACAAAAUACACUCAAUUGGUAGCAGAAAUCGGCCUCCAGUUUCUCAGAUCCUCAUUCAACGAAAGCAUCCUUUGCAGGUGCCACUGCUUGGGAAUACACCUGUAAUUCACAUCUGCACACAAAACUCCAUCUUUCUUUGAGGCCUGAACAAACAGGUUUUUGUCGUUUUGUGGUUUUUGUUUGUUUGUUUGUUUAAGAGAUGGGGUCUCACUAUGUUGCCCAGGCUGGCCUCAAACUCCUGGGCUCAAGGGACCCUACUGCCUCAGCCUCCAGAGUAGCUGGGAUGACAGGUGCACACCACUGUGUCCAGCUUUACAAAUAGGUUUCUUAGGCUGACCUUAUCAAUCUCAACAUCAACACAAUUAAGGAAUUUGCUCACAAUAGUCUCCUGUUGGAGUCUUUACGUGCACGAACAUCGUUCUCACAGACCAUCCAAUAUGGACAAACUUGACUUGGAAACAGGAAAAUAGGGAGGUAAUUAAUCACCUGGUAAAAGGACACACCCCAGAUGUACUUUUCACAUCACCAUCCCCAAAUAUGCCUUAAGGGGCAUCAAGGUAACAUCCCAGCUUUAUACCACAUGAAUAGAGCUUCUCUAUUCAUGUGGUUUUCAGAACAUAUCCAUCUACUAGACUCAGGAACUUGACUUGAGAGACAUGGAUAUUUCUUGCUUCCUGGCAGCAAAUCCAACAGCAAUUCCAGUCCCUGCAGCCAGUUAGGCAGGGAGGAAAGGGCUGGUGUGUCAGGGCUGGUCCAAGCACACUGGUAUACUUGAGUCAACAUCUGCAGCAGAGGAAGGGAGACAGAGGGGACUGAAUAAACGGAGCUGUGCCAUUGGGAGUCCACCAAGCACGCCAAUGCCCUCCUACGCCCCUCAGCUCCAGGCCUCCUGGCCUCACACCACCCUAGAACAUUCUUGUUGCCCAAACCUCAGAGGAGGGCUUUCCCUGAACCAACUCUGACUUCCUGCUUCCUCUCUGACCCUACAUGGUGGUACUCCACCUCUGCCAGACAUCCCUUCCCUGCUCUGCCUGCAGCUUCAUCAAAGCCUACUGGGCCCUGGAGAAGAGAGCCAUGCCAAUCCCCCCUGCAGUGAGCUAGCACAGUGCAUUCAGGUUAGUUACUUUCCUUCUUGGGCAUCUCUGGUUUAUAACAUGAGCCUCUUGGAGAGGGCGGUAUUUUGAACAAAAGGAAAUAAUCUUUCAUUGUGAAAUUUCAAGGACUGUGGGGGAAGAAAUCCAGUGAGGCUGGAGGGCAGUAAUGGGGGAACAGAGAGAUCUCUGAGAUACAACAAUGUCACACGGACCAGCCAUGAGCUACUACUGGAAAUCUGUUUUUCAAAAUUUAAAAGAGUCAAUUUCCAGAUGUCUGCUUAGCGGAGCCAAACUGCUGUUGAUUUGUUCCCAGUUCGCCACGGAAUAAAGUCUGAACUCCUCACCCGAGCACUCCAGACCUUCCACGUUCUGGCUCCCAUAAAGCCUGCUCUCCUUCCUGCCCCUCCUAGGAACCCCACUUAGCCAUUCGCUUCCGCACUAUCCUGCAGACCUGCUCGGGGCUUCCCAGCCUGCACACUAGCCCAGGCCUGAGCAUGCUCCUUUACCAGCACCACUGCACUGCACAACUCCAGUGGGUGCCGUGCUCAUGCCAGGCUGUGUGUGUGCAGUGCACAGCAUGGCAAUCCAUGUGCUGCCUCAUCCAUAGCCUCCACUUCAGGAAGUCUCCCGUGCACCCCUGCAACCUUCCUCUUCUCAAUUUCUUUGUUGCCUAGAACCUGCAGCUCACUUCAGGCACUGGACACUCCCUGCUUCACAUUCUCUUGAUCUGAGUGGGUGGGGGUAGGUCCCCAAUCAGAGCACAAAUGCCCUGAGGGCAGUGACUGAGUCCUAAGACCUCACACCCCAGGUGAGCGGGCUGAGAAGUUCACGUUGGCUUUCUACUGUGAACUUUUCCUGGGCCAGCAUCCACAGCAGCAACAGGCAACUUGCUAGAAAUGCACAUUCUGGGGCCCCACCCCAGAAGUCUUGAAUCAGAUGCUCUGGUGGUGGGGCCCAGCACCUGUUUUGGCAAGCCCACCAGGCAACUCCGAUGCGCAUGAGGCUUGAGACCCACUGAGUUAUAGGAUCCUCAACAUCCUUUCUGGGUUUAUUCAACAGGGUUUUCCAGCUAGGGAAGGGGCAGGCAUCAUCUUGUCGGACUGUUACAGAGACCCCAUCCCCAGGUAUUUCUCAGGCAUCUCCAAGUGAACUCGCUCAGAAAGCCUCCAUGCAGCCUGAAGUGCUAUCAUGCCAAGGUUGCCAGCCAACAGCGCAGAGCAGCCAGGAUGCUUCAGCGCUCCUCCAAAGGGCUCUCCUGUUCAACAAGCCUUCCCUGGGCCCUGCUAGCUGGGUGGUUACAUUAUUCAGCAACCAAGUAGAGUUUAACAGUGUCCCUGUCUCCCAACCAAGCAAUUCACCCCAACUGUGCUACGGGCUUUUCCAACACAAAGCAGGGCAGUGUUCAGGAACUUGGCAACAGGAAGGCCCUCCUCCAGGUCCCCACACCUUUUCACAGUCUGCCCAGGCUAAAGCCCCUGGCAUCCCAUCUCCUAGGGCAGAAGUGAGUAAGGAAGGGAGGUCAGACCAGAUAUAAAGAGCCAGAUCCCAGCGCCACUCUGGACUUACAGAAUCAGAAUUGCUAGGAGUACCUGGGGAUCCAGAUGUUGAUCAAGUCUCCCUGCCAUUCUUAUCGGACAAUUCAAGAAAUGAUCAAUGGGCCGACGUGCAUUAUCUAACAGAUGAGGGAACUGA
Molecule: long non-coding RNA, 5917 nt
Filed under: Homo sapiens (human)
Lineage: Eukaryota; Metazoa; Chordata; Mammalia; Primates; Hominidae
Description: HSALNT0394237
Source: RNAcentral